Molecule: ribosomal RNA, 253 nt
Filed under: uncultured bacterium
Lineage: Bacteria
Description: partial 16S ribosomal RNA
Rfam family: Bacterial small subunit ribosomal RNA
Source: RNAcentral
UACGUAGGGGGCAAGCGUUGUCCGGAUUUAUUGGGCUUAAAGGGUGCGUAGGCGGUCUAUUAAGUCAGUGGUGAAAUACUCCAGCUUAACUGGAGGGGUGCCAUUGAUACUGAUGGACUUGAGUGAAGUCGAGGUAGGCGGAAUUGACGGUGUAGCGGUGAAAUGCUUAGAUAUCGUCAAGAACACCAAUAGUGAAGACAGCUUACUAGGCUUAUACUGACGCUGAGGCACGAAAGUCUGGGGAUCAAACAGG